UACGUAGGGGGCAAGCGUUGUCCGGAAUUAUUGGGCGUAAGGCGCGCGCAGGCGGUCCUUUAAGUCUGAUGCGAAAUCUUGCGGCUCAACCGCAAGCGGUCAUUGGAAACUGGGGGACUUGAGUACAGGAGAGGAGAGCGGAAUUCCACGUGUAGCGGUGAAAUGCGUAGAUAUGUGGAGGAACACCAGUGGCGAAGGCGACUCUCUGGUCUGUGACUGACGCUGAGGAGCGAAAGCGUGGGGAGCGAACAGG
RNAcentral lists this unclassified non-coding RNA (253 nucleotides) under uncultured Caryophanales bacterium. Its description in RNAcentral is "uncultured Bacillales bacterium contains 16S-23S intergenic spacer region". It matches the Rfam family "Bacterial small subunit ribosomal RNA", at positions 524 to 776 of the family's 1533-position model. The record is from RNAcentral. Lineage: Bacteria; Bacillati; Bacillota; Bacilli; Caryophanales.